GACGAACGCUGGCGGCGUGCUUAACACAUGCAAGUCGAACGAUGAAGCUGGAGCUUGCUCUGGCGGAUUAGUGGCGAACGGGUGAGUAACACGUGAGAAAUCUGCCCUUGACUCUGGGAUAACUGCGGGAAACUGUAGCUAAUACCGGAUACUUUCCCUGGUGGGCAUCCACUGGGGAAGAAGGAAUUUCGGUCAAGGAUGAUCUCGCGGCCUAUCAGCUUGUUGGUGAGGUAAUGGCUCACCAAGGCGACGACGGGUAGCCGGCCUGAGAGGGUGACCGGCCACACCGGGACUGAGACACGGCCCAGACUCCUACGGGAGGCAGCAGUGGGGAAUAUUGCACAAUGGGCGCAAGCCUGAUGCAGCAACGCCGCGUGAGGGAUGAAGGCCUUCGGGUUGUAAACCUCUUUUAGCAGGGAAGAAGCGAAAGUGACGGUACCUGCAGAAAAAGCACCGGCUAACUACGUGCCAGCCGCCGCAGUAA
This 484-nucleotide ribosomal RNA is filed under the name uncultured bacterium. Its description in RNAcentral is "partial 16S ribosomal RNA". It matches the Rfam family "Bacterial small subunit ribosomal RNA", at positions 28 to 523 of the family's 1533-position model. The record is from RNAcentral.